AGAAUCAACGCUGGCGGCGUGCCUCAGACAUGCAAGUCGAACGCGAAAGUUCCCUUCGGGGGCAAGUAGAGUGGCGCACGGGUGAGUAACACGUAGGUAAUCUACCUUUGGAUGGGGAAUAACAACCGGAAACGGUUGCUAAUACCGCAUAAUGCAGCGGCACCUAAUGGUGACAGUUGUUAAAGCGGGGGAUCGAAAGACCUCGCGUCUGAAGAGGAGCCUGCGGCGGAUUAGCUAGUUGGUAGGUAACGCCUACCAAGGCUACGAUCCGUA
RNAcentral lists this ribosomal RNA (273 nucleotides) under uncultured soil bacterium. RNAcentral's name for it is "partial 16S ribosomal RNA". It matches the Rfam family "Bacterial small subunit ribosomal RNA", at positions 26 to 285 of the family's 1533-position model. The record is from RNAcentral.